RNAcentral lists this ribosomal RNA (432 nucleotides) under uncultured bacterium. Its description in RNAcentral is "partial 16S ribosomal RNA". It matches the Rfam family "Bacterial small subunit ribosomal RNA", at positions 29 to 506 of the family's 1533-position model. The record is from RNAcentral.
AACGAACGCUGGCGGCAUGCCUAACACAUGCAAGUCGAACGAGACCUUCGGGUCUAGUGGCGCACGGGUGCGUAACGCGUGGGAACCUGCCCUUAGGUUCGGAAUAACUCCCCGAAAGGGGUGCUAAUACCGGAUAAUGUCUUCGGACCAAAGAUUUAUCGCCUUUGGAUGGGCCCGCGUUGGAUUAGCUAGUUGGUAGGGUAAAAGCCUACCAAGGCGACGAUCCAUAGCUGGUCUGAGAGGAUGAUCAGCCACACUGGGACUGAGACACGGCCCAGACCCCCAGGGGGGGGAGAGGGGGGGAAAUUGGGACAAGGGGCGAAAGCCUAAACCAGAAAGGCCGGGGAAGUGAGUAAGGCCUUAGGGUUGAAAAGCUUUUUUACCCGGGAUGAAAAUGACGGUCCCGGGAAAAAAAGCCCCGGCUAACUCCGU